Molecule: unclassified non-coding RNA, 378 nt
Filed under: plant metagenome
Description: partial contains 5.8S ribosomal RNA, internal transcribed spacer 2, and large subunit ribosomal RNA
Rfam family: 5.8S ribosomal RNA (bases 1-105)
Source: RNAcentral
GAAAUGCGAUAAGUAAUGUGAAUUGCAGAAUGCAGGGAAUCAUCGAAUCUUUGAACGCACCGUGCGCUCCUUGGUAUUCCUUGGAGCAUGCCUGUUUGAGUAUCAUGAAAUCUUCAAAGUAAAUCUUUUGUUAACUCAAUUGGUUUCUACUUUGGUAUUGGAGGUCUUUGCAGCUUCACACCUGCUCCUCUUUGUUCAUUAGCUGGAUCUCAGUGUUAUGCUUGGUUCCACUCGGCGUGAUAAGUUAUCUAUCGCUGAGGACACUGUAAAAGGUGGCCAAGGUAAAUGCAGAUGAACCGCUUCUAAUAGUCCAUUGACUUGGACAAUACUUUUAUGAUCUGAUCUCAAAUCAGGUAGGACUACCCGCUGAACUUAAGC